RNAcentral lists this long non-coding RNA (17537 nucleotides) under Malus domestica (apple). RNAcentral's name for it is "long non-coding RNA (MDOM_LNC004009)". The record is from RNAcentral. Lineage: Eukaryota; Viridiplantae; Streptophyta; Magnoliopsida; Rosales; Rosaceae.
AUUUAGUUUAUAUGUUAAUUUUACAUGGUGAAUAUUAACAAAUUGACAUCAAAUUAUCAGAAACAUAUCAGCUCAGUGUGGUGAGAGGAAAGACCUACUUGCUACGCCUAAUCAACGCUGCACUCAAUACCCAGCUCUUCUUCAAGAUAGCCAAUCACAACAUGACAGUUGUUGCCAUCGACGCCUCCUACACGACUCCUUAUGAUACAGACGUGGUGGUUAUUGCACCUGGUCAGACCAUUGACAUUCUCGUCAAAUUCAAUCAACUUAACGGAUCUUAUUACAUGGCCGCCACUCCUUACGCUAGCGCUGAUGAUACUGUCGGCUUUGAUAACUCGACAACCAGAGGCAUCAUCGUCUACAAGGGCUACACGUCAUCAACCCCCAUUAUGCCCCCCAUGCCUAACCCUCACGACACGCCGUUGGCCCAUAAGUUCCUCACCAAUCUCACCGGCCUCCCUGGUGGGCCCCACUGGGUCCCAGUCCCACGCAAGGUGGACGAGCACAUGUUCGUGACAGUCGGCGUUAACUUAGCGAUGUGUCCCGAAAAUACCACGUGUCAAGGCUUAUUCAAUAACCGAUUCUCUGCGAGCAUGAAUAACGAGUCAUUCAUGGCCCCGACCAAUACGUCCAUGUUGGAAGCACAUUUUAACAACGUGAACGGGGUUUAUACUAGAGAUUUUCCUAACGAGCCUCCGGUCAAGUUUGACUACACAGACACGAACCUCAGCCUCGACUUAUCCUUGAUAUUUGCGCCAAAAUCAACAAAGGUCAAGACGUUGAAGUUCAAUUCGACAGUACAGUUGGUGUUUCAGAACACAGCAUUUUUGGCCAUCGAGAACCACCCGAUGCAUCUCCACGGCUUCGAUUUCCACGUAUUGGCACAAGGGUUUGGAAAUUACGACCCGAUUAAUGACCCCAAAAAAUUUAACUUCGUUAAUCCGCAAGUACGUAACACAAUUGGUGUGCCGGUCGGAGGAUGGGCUGUGAUCAGGUUUCGAGCAAAUAAUCCUGGUUAGUUUUCUUAAUCAUCUCAUUAAUUAAGUUGCUUUGUAUUUUAAACAUGUUAUAAAUAAAUAAUUUUUGAUAAUUUGUUUUAAAUUAUUAUUUUAGGUAUCUGGUACGUGCAUUGUCACUUGGACGUUCAUCUGCCUUGGGGGCUGGCCAUGGCUUUUGAGGUUGAAAAUGGAGGGACGCCAGAAUCUACUUUGCCUCCACCACCACUUGAUCUGCCGAAAUGUUAGAAGUUGUUUGGCAGACUCCUCGGCUCAAAAUACUGUUUCAUUUUGUAUUCUUGAAAUUAUAAUACCGAGGUCAAUUUCAUUCGUUUGGUUAAAAAUGAAUAAGUUUGUAAUAAGCCUAGUGACAAAUGUAUUGUUUAAGUUGGUCAUCAUUGUUUGUCUAAAAUCAAAGUAACUUAUUAAUUAUUAAUAAUUGAGGUACCUGUCAGGAUGUACCUGUUAGGACAUAAAGGUUAGUUAUAGCGUGCUGUAUGUCAAUAUGUCAAAUGUAAUGAGUGUCGUGUGUCAUUACAUCAUUGGUUCUGUAGUAAAGUCAAAGUGUUGUAAUGAUUAUCAAGUUGUAAUGAAAGUAUUGUUAUUCAAGAUUCUGUCCAUCUCUUCGAUGACUUUCUCUUCCUUCAUUUCUGGCUUUCUCGGUUGACAGUGCCCUAAUUUAUUCAUGAAAUGAUCUGACAGUCUUUUGCUUAUUUAAUUAUGUUAUUUCUUAUCUCGUAUUUUUCUAACAAGAAUACAUUUUUAUAGCUAGUCUACUAAUAUUUUUUAUUUUAUUUUAUAAAAAAGUGAAGUUUUACGUUGGAUUUAAGUGAAUGACAAUAACAUUUAAUAUUUGUUUCGAGUAUAAUACCUCUUCAGUGAAUUAUCCCGUCCCCUUGCUAGAAUAUCAUUUUUUUUUUGAUAAAAAACAACCUCAUGUAUGAACAUCAUUUGGAUUUCUCUCUGAACUGUAUUCCCCUUUAUAGAAGAAAAUAAAUGUUCUAAAUCGUAUUGGGCCCCAAAUCAGCAAAUUAUAGGUUUCUGCACUGGAAGAUGAUCCUCUCCUAAGCGCAGGAUGAGUAUCCUCCUAACCAACCCAUCUAGACCGUUCAAACUUAAUCCAACGGUUGCAAUUAUUAUCACUUUUAGAUGACCAUUUGUUUGGAACCGUUAGAUUAAAUUUGAACAGCCCAGAUGAGCUGAUUAGGAGGAUCCUCAUCCUGAGCUCAGGAGAGGAUCCUCUUCCUUCUGCACUACCAGAGAUUUAGGCUAACCCAUCACAUCAGCCUCCACAUAAGUUCCUAUUACAAAAUGUUGAUAAUCUUGUGUUUAAAAUCUUAUAAUUAACAGCUGUUAAUAAUAAUCCUUGUGAAAAUUGCAUUCCCUCUAAUCUUCUUUUAAUGAAUCUUCACUUUAUCUUAUAUAUAACAUGUUAACGAACUUGAGCGUGACUACUACAAUUUGAUUUUACACGCAUUAAUAGUUUCUCUUACAUGUGAUUAAGUUGUGUCCUUGUUGUCUAAUUUGACUUCGAAAUGAAUUGGCAUCUUGUUUUGAUAGCCUUGAUCACAUUGCAGGGUCGGUUUCCAUACGUGGGAUGUACGUACUCACCUCUCUAGUGUAGGUGAUGAAUAAGAGUGAUUCAAAUAAUAUUAUUGGUUCAAAUGUGCGCCCUUUUCGACCUCAUCUACUCCUAAACAAUAAGACCGUCAUACAUGUACAGUAAUUGAAACAUAAGUUUGACCGUCUAGUUUUAGGGAUUAUGCUUCAAUUAAUGUGGCAAAUCUCCUCCGAAAUUCAUUGCCACUAACAUUCAUGUAUGGCUGUAAAGGGCCUGGAGCAAAUGCAGGAUGAAACUUUCUUGAUGAGUCUUGUGAAACUGGACCAGGGGCAUAUGUAGGGGCACCGCCAUAACUCGAAAAUUCUGCCAUGGCGAGGUGAGGGUUAAGACAAUUGUUUUUCGCGAGAUAAGGCAAGAAUAUUCCUACAUUAUAAAAACAUUUGAUAAAGAAUGUUAGGUACAUCAAAUUAGAAUGCUGUGAUAGUGAUAUUAUAUUGGAUAACCACUAAAACACUAAAAUUAAGAAAAAUCAUCUAUUAUAUGCAUAUAAAUUCCGGAAAGAGAUCAUUUCCGGAUCUCUUCCACCAAGGCCACCGGAUCAAGUGAUCCGGACCCUUGAUAUUUGAUCCAAUGGCUAAAGUUAUUAUAACUUUUAAAGGGGGCCCCUGUUUUUAGCCGUUGGAUCAAAUUUUAAGGGCCUGGAUCACUUGAUCCGGUGGCCUUGGUGAAAGAGAUCCAGAGAGGAUAUCUUUCCGUAAAUUCCAACCAUUUAAAUAGAAACACUGACAUAAAAUAUAAUGAAAUUGAAGGUUACGCACCUCCAAGUGUCUCAAAAGAUUAAGAAUGCUCAACACGUAAUUAAAGGUGAAGGGGCAAAUCGAGAAAAUGGUCAUAAGUCGAGGAGAAAUUUUCAAGUAGGAAAAUAAGCAUUGAUAAAAAUCAGUAAUAUUUGGAUCUAUGAAAUUACAUUAUUGCUCAUAAUUUUUUGUGUGAUAAAAGACUAAUAGCCUUUUCACCCCUUUUUAGUUGACAAAGAAAGUUCUUUUAAUAGGUAGUUCAGAUUUGUUCUUUUUUAAACUUUAAUAAAGUCACUUUGACUGAAGGCCAUGUCCUCAUAUUUAAUUUAAUUUAUAUUAAUUAUUGAGCUGUAAAAAAAUUAUUGUGUUUUUUAGAACCAAAAUGUCAUAUAUGUUGUAGGCAUAAUUUACUGAACAAUUAUGAAGGCCAAGGAGAGAGGGUGCGGCGGCAUAGAGAGAGAAUGGGUGCGGCGACAUAGAGAGAGAAGAGAUAUAUGUGUAAUUGUGAGGUGUUUUCUAUUCCACCCCAUUCUGCCUUUAUUUAUAAUAGUAGGGAAGGUUAAAUCCUUACCCUAAUAGGAUUACAACUCUAAUAGGAUAAUAUUUAACCCCAGAGAAUAUUCCAAGAUAUCCCUAGAUACACUAAGAUUUACACAAUCACAUUCCUAAUCUAAUAGGACUGCAACACUCCCCAUUGAGUGUGUAAAUACUUAACUAAAUGGCGCAUCAGGUCUUUAGCGAUGAAGUAAGUACAAUUGAUGAAGUCGUCGGCACAAUGAGCGAAUGCGAGUUUUAGAUCAAUGGAAGAAUGCAUAAAAGGUAAAACUCAUAAAAACUCGCUAUGGUAAAACCCAAGGUGGGAGAAAAACCCCGUAGACUAAGGAGAAAAGUGAGAAUUUGCAUUAAGUCAAAACUAUAUGUCUUCUGGACGCAAGUAAAAGAGCUCAUAAGAGUAUGAUUAGCCCAAGGUGGGUGCCUCAUCAAAACCUAGUUAGGUAGCAAAAAUCCAGUGGGAAAAAUGCUCCUAAUCGUAUGGAAAAAUAGUACAUUAAGAUCAAGUAAGUAUACUUUUGGAUACUCCCCCUGAGUUUGACAUAACUUCCAAAUAAGAACUAUAAGCAUUUGCAUAUGAAUAGUUAGGCACCAAUUCCUCGGACAAGCUUCUGGAAGGUUGACUUUGGCAAUGACGUCGUGUAGAGGUCAAUAAGGUUGUCUGGGAUUGGUUUUGCAUGACUUCAAUUUCCUAAUACUUUGUUGAUGUAAAUGUAGACGCAAUAUGUCUUGGUGUUGACUUCGUUGAUGUAUCAUGUCUUGGUCGGGUUGAUACAUGCAACAUAAUCUUCAUGGAUUGUCGUUGGGACUCAACGAUGGAUGAAAAACAACAAGUACUUUGAAUAUGCUCAACAAGAGCUCUCAACUAUGUCUCACGUGUGGCGUAGUGAAGUGAGAUGAGUCUUGGAAUGAUUCAAAAGUUUCGUAACUAAGGCCAUAUCGUGGACCUCCAAGAUAUUGCGUAUCCCUAACGGUAAAGACAUAACCAUUCGGGGAUUUACCUUGUACGGGUUUGAUAAGUAACCAGUGUCAACAUAACAACAAGGCAAGCAUCAUUCCAAGGAUUAAGGGGGUUGGAUCCGCUCGGGAUGCGUUAGGAUUUGCCUAAAUCCGUAGUACCUUUAGGGUGGCGGAAAACAUCUUUAAUACCAAUUCAGUGGUUGCUUGUAGGCGCGAUGCUGCAUCUUUACCAAUAAAUCAAUAGCGAAGGAGAUGUCUUGUCUAACAUAAUGAGCUAAGUACAACAAAGCGCAAAGUUGAACUUAGAUAUGGAAUUUGGUAGUGCAUAACCUCUUCAAGGGUCUCAUUUGCAUAUAACGUAUGGAAGAUCAUAGGUAUACUCAAAAGGUAACACCUUCGAGGUGUAGUUUGACUGGUAGACCAAAGUACAGUCAAAACAAUGCUUAAUCUUCAAGUCAAGGCUCAAAUUCCAUCUUCAGGUGCAAGGAAGUUUUCUCAAGCUCUUCUAGAGUUUUAGUGAGAUUCAUGUCAUUGACAUAAACUGUAACUCUAGCAAUUCGGAAUAAGACUUCAUAGUUUAACACGCAAGGGCAUUCAUUCAUAUCCCUGACUGAUCAAAUAAUCACUUAGACGGAUGUACCACAUUUGCCGGAUUGCUUCAAUCCUUAAGUGAGUGCCUCAAACAAGUUAAGAGGGUGUUCCGUGGUUUGGAACUAUUUGAACCAGUCCAUGUGAUUCUUUGGGAACUUACAUGAAAAUCUUCGUAUCAAUAUUCCCAUGGAGAAAUACUAACCACUUUCGUAAUGCUGCAGUCAACUACAUGGUGUUUGAGAAAAACCUUGUGCCGUAAGGCAUGCAUCAUAUCGCACUGUUUCUUUAUCUCAUUACGCAUCCUUUUCCAAUUGUAACACAACAGGGUUACUUUAGGCAGUGUAGGAAAGAUAGUUCCAAACACACUUUGGUAAGGAAUUUAACCUGAAUAGUAAUUUUGGUUGUCCAAUCCAUUCUACGUUGUUACUAAUCAACGGAACAUGGUUCGAUAUCGUACCUUUCAUUUAAGUCUGUAGCUACCAUAUAAAUGAAAACAUCAUCAAUGAUAAUCUCAUUCCAAUUCUGUUAUCUCAUCCAAACUAAUAUACUGGACCAAGAACUUCAAGUCUCGGGAGUAAUUCAGAUUAAUCUCAUGAGAUGGAAAUGAUUUGAGACAACGAUCGAGUACAUAUUCAUCCCAUUGUGCCUUUAUUUAUAGUAGUAGGGAAAGUUAAAUCAUUACCCUAAUAGGAUUAGAACUCUAAUAGGAUAAUAACUAACCCUAGAGAAUAUUCUAAGAUAUCCCUAGAUUUCUAUGAUUUUAAUUUCUCCGGCUCAGGUAGUCACUUUUAAUCAGUCUAUCAGUCAUGUCGUUAAUUAACGCGUUUAUGAUAUUUUGACAUUGUUCAUUACCCUGAAACUAUGAACCAAUGUUCUGGCACAAAUGUAUCACUCCCAGACACUAGCAUGUGUUCGGUAUAAAAAAUCAUACCGCCUGAAUACUGGUUAACAACUUCUGGAUAUCAGACAAUAUUGUCAAUAAGUAGCGUCACCGUAUACUAAUUAUAGGUUAGAGCCCACUUGGGUGGAUGGUUUCGGAUGAUUGGUAAAAAUUGGUCUUAAUGACUUGGUUUUGUUGAUUCUAAGGGAAAUUUACUUACUUACUGCUCAUGGGAUUUUUUCUAGCCAAGGGUAUAACAACUCAUACUCCCAUGCCUAUACUCAUCGUAAUGACGAGUACAUCAUCAAGGAAAUCCUGGGAAUUAGUGUUGAUUGUAGUGUUCUAAGGUUGGGAAAAGGAAUUUGCUAAUGAUCUACUCAUUAUAGGGUUUAAUAGAAUAUAAUCUUCCUCCUGAAGAUUCGAAAUUAUAACUAUAGUUGACAGAUAUAGUCGGGGACCAAAGGUGGUUGUUACCACGAAAAGUAAAACUUCGUAAGAAUUUUGAUAGAUGGUAUUCUAAUAGGCAUUGCCAAGGAAUCAAAACUAUUUAUGGUUCCUAUCUUGAAAAGUUUGGUAAUGAAGGCGGGAGAAUAAUGAUGGGAUUGAUUGGUAAAUCUCUGGUGAUACACAACUAUUGACACAAUAGCCCUGUUUCAGGGCCAUUAACUCAUCUCAAAUCUACAUAUUUCCCUAGCAAGGAGCUUAAAGUCUAAAGGCAUUCUCCAAAAUGAUCAUCUAAAAUGUUGAUAAGUCGCCUAAAUCGCCCAAAACUUAGGAAAAGCUAACAUGUUUUUCAUGCUCUAUGAGGUGGCAAGAUUCGCUAAUUAAAUUCAAGAAUCAAGGAUGCCUACAUCACAUGUGUGGUGAAUGCAAUAUUGCCUAAACUUAUGCUCUAAUAACAAACUAACACACCCCAAUCCGGAAUGUCCACCUGGACUCCGAAUCGAGUUGUGGUGGCUGACACCAGGAAGGUGACGAAGCCAUAAGGUGUAGUGAGGUGGAAAUGUGAAUAAAUUUAAACUAAAAGUGACUAGAUGCAAGAGUGCACAUGUGAGCCGGAUUGAACCCAAUCCACACAUAAUGUCAGAGCAUAAGUAAAGUACAACAAAGGUAGAGGAAAAAUUAUACAAUCGGGAGUUUUCCCAUAACAACGUUUUGCCAGAAAGUCCUUGUCGACACGAAAGCUCUGCCACUAAAACCUAGAUGGGAGAAAAAACAAGGGUGAGUGGGCCUAAAAAUAAAGCUUUGUAAAAACCUUUUCUAAAAUGUAUAACCCCUCGCCGUAAAACAAGUAUAGUUUCCAAAUAUAACAUACUACGUAUAGUAUGAAAAUACUUACCAUAGCCAACGAUUCCUCAAAAAAUGCAAUACUUCACAAUAAUUUGUAAAUAAGCAUAUAACUUCCAGUAAUCACAAUAUCUCGUAGAAAUAAACAUAUCAUAUCGAGUGUUCAUCGACAUAUGUUGACACACGAGUUCAUGCAGACAUAUUCUCACAUAAACAUAACUAGGUGUAAUAAUGAACUACGCUCUAGUACUACAAUCACGUGAAGACUGGUGCUAUGCACAUCACAGACAAGUUCUAAUUGCCUAUAACAAUCUAGGAUAGGACUAGCACUCCAAAGUGAGCGUAUAGUGCGAUGUGAACAUACACGUGAAGCCUGGCCCUGGCUCGGGCUAGUACAAACAAUAGUGUAGCACACUAUGAGUAGAUAACGUAAAUAUAGUCAUGUCACAGUGAUUCAAUAAUUCUAGUCAACAUAAUACUAUUCAUAACCGUAAAUCUAAUUAAGGCAUCCAAUAUGAUUUAUAAUGAUUUCCUAAUUCUCAUUAUACAACAUUCCUUAUAAACGUUGAUUUAAUUACGGCAUCACAUAGAAAAUUCGUUAUUAGAUGUAUGUAUGGAAACUAAACAAUUAUAUAUAUAUAUAUAAAAGAAAAUUUCCACUCACAGAUACUUGUGAAGUCGUAAUUGUUUGAACGAGUAAAUACGGAUCGUACCUAAGUAUAAUAGAGACUUGUUAGUAAAACUCAACUAAAAUCAUUAAAUUUGGGAAAAUAGAGUGCAUAUUUGGAAUCAGGGUGUCGAAAUAUGCUAAGAAGGGUCCUGAACAAUUUUCGUAAAAAGUCAAGCCUAAAAAGUCAACUACGUUAAAACUUUGGAAUUUCACUAAAUGGAUGCCAAAAAUGGACUCAGAGGUGUCAAAAAUAGCCUAGGAGGGUUUCCGAGAAUAUUCCAAAUCCAAUUAGGAAUCGGUUGGGUCGGAUCCAGUACGCGGAUCCGGGUUUAGGCUGGUUUGCGGGUUCGGUUUUGGUUUAUGGGUUGGGUCGACCCAUUUUUAGGUUAUGGGUCGGUCGGAAUCUGGGCAACAAUCCCAAAGCUCCGAUCAAGCUCAAAAUACAACUAUAAUACAGAAAAUUAUACAUGUAUUUGAAACUUAAAGAGAGAGGAAUAAUUUUAUACCAAAAUCACGUCGAGUCGUGGUCGAGAUAGGCUGGAAAGGCUUGCAACUAGCGAUGUCAUGGUUGGAAAACUAGGGAGACUUCCCGAGUUAAUUUUUGCACCAAAUUGUCGCAAAAACACGUGUAUAAGGAGUUAAUCGUCAUUAAAAUGAAACGGGAAAAGCAAACCAUGUGGUCUAGACCUUACCUUUAUUGGAUUCAUUAGACUUUCGCCCGAAUCCUCUUGGAUUUUGAAUGGAGCUCAGCUUCCUAGCCGUGAAAAGAGAGAGUGUGAGAGAGAAAGAUUAACAAGAGGGAGAGAGAAAGAGAGAUGAUCUAUGUGUUGGUUUGGUGGAGCUCACUGGAGAAGAUGGCGAGUUGGUGGACGUUGGCCUCGGCGCCGGGGGUUGCAGAGGGAAGAUAGAGUUAGAGUGAGAGAGAGAUGCGAGAGAAGAUAAAGAGAAAAAAGAGUGUCUAAGAGAGUGGGGGGAUGAGUGACACGUGGCAAGAGAGGAGAGAAGAGUUGGUGUGGGUAUGGACCUCAUGGGCUAGAAAAAAAUAUUUAAAAUAUUAAAAUAAUAAAAUACCCAAAAAUUCAAAUUUACUAAAACACCCUCAAGUUUCAUAGUUUCGUAAAAUUUUAACCGUAACUUCGAUUUUGAUUUCAUUUGCACCUACACGUUCGUACCGUCAAGUACAUCGAGAAUAUGGUAAAAUAAUAGCUCAUACGCAUCACGAAAUGAUGGUCAAUGAAAGUCAACAAUCUCUCCACUAAGGCAUUUCCGUCAAUUCACUCUUUUAAAAUUAAUAAAAUCGUAAAAUUAGGAACGAGUUGUUACAAUCUACCCACCAUAAAAAAAAAAUUUCGUCCUCAAAAUUGGAAAUAAGUUGCUAUACAUAAAAUACUCCAAAAAAUAGGAAGAAAAAAAAUAUAUAUAAAGAAGAUAUCAAGUCUGAACGGUUGCAUAAAUGAGAAUGCCAUUCUGUCGCGAUCGGGUUACAAUAAUUCCUCUUUCAUGCCUCCAAACUCAAACUUUUCUUCUCCUUUAGUACAAUACUAUAAUAUAAUACUUUUAUAAAAACGUGAAGUCAAAAAUAGAUAUAUAAUAACAUAAUGCCAAAAUACGUAUAUAAUAACGUAAAAUUAAAAUAGUUGUACUGAAAUCAAAACUGAACAUACAAAAAUUUCAUCUACGCACUUGUAGCAUCACGUACUCCAAGAAUAAGUGUAGUAUCUUUGGGUCAAGCUUAAACAAUAAAUAAAUAAAUAUACUAACAUAGACGGGAUUACUUGUUCACUUGCUUAACGAACCCAACAAAUAAGCUAUCAAUAUUAUGGUCUACAGCUCACAAUACCAACAACUCACUAUUGUCUUGAUAAGCAAGUAAUAAAUUUUCGAGGGUGCAAUAUUACCAUCUUGCCCCUCAUUGGGAAACUGUGCAUAAGUCGUUAGAUUUAUGCCUCGAUUGGGCUCAUGCACUACCAUCUUGGGCGACAUCGUCUAUAGCACAUAAUUUCCAACAUCGUAAUCUCAAACCUUCAAAUACCUCUUCGCAAUACUCUUAUGUACACCACGUGCUAUCCGUAGAAUUCGCCAUACAACAUCUCAAAUGGUGUCAUACCCAACAUCUUAAAUUGCGCCUACGUGUUCGUACCGUUGAGUACUUCGAGAAUACGGUAAAAUAAUAGCUCAUACACGUCACGAAAUGACAAUCAACGAAAAUCAACAAUCUCUCCACUAGGGCAUUUUCGUCAAUUCACUAUUUUAAAAUUAAUAAAAUCGUAAAAUUAGUGACGAGUUGUUACAGGACUAGUUUGAUAUUGAAUUUUGUCCUAACCAUUAAAUAAAGUUAGUUGAAUUUUUUUGUUAAGAUUAGGAUUUUGAAAGCAUUUCAUUAGUUUUCUUUAUUAUUUAACUCAAAAAUAGGACACAAACCCAAAAGAUUUAACUAAAGUUAAAUUUUUUGUUUGUAAAUUAAAAUAAGAAUUGUUUAUAAAACCCCCCAAAAAAAAAAAGAACUUAUCAUUGAAAUGUAAAUUACUAUAAGUUCGCUCAAAAUAAAGUUAAAAUUACUAUUUCUAAAACCCAAAAAUUAAAUUUUUUUUGUUUUUUUUAAAUUUCGAUUUGACUUAAUAUUAUUGUUUAAUUCGUUCUAAAUCAUGCAAGAUUGUAUUAUUAACUCCACUAAUUUAUCAAAACUAAAGUUAAAACCAUUAUUCUAAAUUGAAAUAAGCAUUGUUUCUAAAACUCAAAAGAUAAAAGUCUUUCUUCUUUGUUUUGGAUUGUAAUUUGACUUCAUAUUAUUAUUUGAUUUGUCAUAAAUAAUGCAUGGUUAUAUUAUAUUCCCAUCUCUACCUAGCAUGAGGUAUUUUGGAAGCUCACUGGCUUCGGGUUCCAUCGAAACUCUGAAGUUAAGCGAGUAGCUCGAGAGAGCAAUCCCAUGAUGGGUGAUCCACUAGGAAGUUCUCGUGUGAGUUCCUAGAAACAAAACAGUGAGGUAAUGGUAAGCCCAAAGCGGACAAUAUCGUGCUACGGUGGUGGAACGAGCCCGGGAUGUGGUGGACCCAGGCUGGGAUGCGACAAAAUGGUAUCAGAGCCAAUCCCUGGCCAGAGGUGAGCCGACGAGGACGUCGGGCCCUUAAGGGGGGUGGAUUGUGACAUCCCACAUCGCCCAAGGAAGUGAUCAUUAAAUGUAUAUUCCCAUCCCUACAUAGCACGAGGCCUUUUAGGAACUCACUGGCUUCGAGUUCCAUAAGAACUCUGAAGUUAAGCGAGAAGGAGGCCAGAGCACUCCUAGGAUGGGUAACCCACUGGGAAGUUGCUCGUGAGUUCCCAAAAACAAAACCGUGAGGGAAUGGUAAGCCCAAAGCAGAAAAUAUCGUGCUACAGUGGUGGAAUGGGCCCGGGAUGUGGUGGACCCAGGCCGGGAUGUGACAAAAUGGUAUCAGAGCCAAUCCCUGGCCGGAAAUGUGCCGACGAGGACGUCGGGCCCUUAAAGGGGGUGAAUUGUGAUAUCCCACAUCGCCAAGGGGAGUGAUCCUUAAAUAUGUAUUCUCAUCCCUACCUAGCAUGAGGCCUUUUGGGAGCACACUGGCUUCGGAAUCGACAGGAACUCUGAAGUUAAGCGAAAAGGAAGCCAGAGCAUUCCCAGGAUGGGUGACCCACUGGGAAGUUGCUCGUAAGUUCCCAAAAACAAAAACCAUGAGGGAAUGGUAACAAAAACCAUGAGGGAAUGGUAAGCCCAAAGCAGAAAAUAUCGUGCUACGGUGGUGGAACGGGCUCGGGAUGUGGUGGACUCAGGUCGGGAUGUGACAAUUUGGUAUCAGAGCCAAUCCCUGGCCGGAAGUGUACUGACGAGGACGUCGGGCCCCUAAGGGGGUGGAUUGUAAUAUCCCACAUCGCCUAGGGGAGUGGAUCAUGUAAGCCUUAUAUGUAUAUUCCCAUCUCUACCUAGCAUGAGGCCUUUCGGGAGCUCAUUGACUUCGAGUUCCAUCGGAACUCUGAAGUUAAGCGAGUAGCGCGAGAGAGCAAUCUCAUGAUGGGUGACCCACUGGGAAGUUCUCAUGUAAGUUCCCAGAAACAAAACCGUGAGGGAAUGGUAAGCCCAAAGCGGAUAAUAUCAUGCUACGGUGGUGGAACGGGCCCGGAAUGUGGUAGACCCAGGCCGGGAUGUGACAAAAUGAUAUCAGAGCCAAUCCCUGGCCAGAAGUGUGCCGACGAGGACGUCGGGCCCCUAAGGGGGUGGAUUGUGACAUCUCACAUCACCCAGGGGAGUAAUCCUUAAAUGUAUAUUAUCAUCCCUACGUAGCACGAGGCCUUUUGGGAGCUCACUGGCUUCGAGUUUCGUAGGAACUCCGAAGUUAAGCGAGAAGGAGGCCAGGUCACUCCCAGGAUGGGUGACCCACUGGGAAGUUGCUCGUGAGUUCCCAAAAACAAAACCGUGAGGGAAUGUUAAGCCUAAAGCGGACAAUAUCGUGCUACGAUGGUGGAACGGGCCCGAGCCGUGAGGGAAUGUUAAGCCUAAAGCGGACAAUAUCGUGCUACGGUGGUGGAACGGGCCCGAGAUGUGGUGGACCCAAGCCGGGAUGUGACAGUACUACCAUAAGCUCAAUAUGUAUAAUUUACCUAUAUAUAUAGUACUACUAUAUGUUCAAAUAUAUGUAUGUAUGUUUGUGUAUAUGCACAGUACUACAUAUUUGAUCAAAUAUAUUAUACUAAUUAAUCUACCUAUAUGUAAAUUUAUGAUGAGCAAAUAAUAUAUAUUUUGUAGAUAUUUUAUUUUGUAUGUAUCAUCAUAAAUAUUGGGCACAUUUUAUUAUUAUUUAAUCUCUUAAAUAUAAAAUUGUUGUUCGGAAAAAAAAAUAUAAGUUGUUGGAAGUUUAGAAGACUAGCCAACUUUCCCCACCAGCUUUACAAGACUCGAUCAAAGGCCUUUUAUGUGUGCGAAUUUUUAGUGGUCUUCCAGUACUUUUCUUUGUCUGGAUAUAUAUAACAAUUUCUAACCAAAUCAUCAACCACGUAAAGUCGAUUAUACAUAAAUGAGGAGGCGACGACAGGGAUUAAGAUAGAUUAAUUAUUUUUCUUUUAAUACCAAUAGUUUCGUUGAACAGAGACAAACGAAAUUGUUGAUUCCAUUGAAAAAUUUCCUAAACCUAACUUUAGUUGACCAAAUUAAGACAGUUCUCUCUCAUAAUUUUCGAAUGUCCCUGCAUUAUCAAAGGUGGUGACGGUGGCAGUUUGGUGUUAUGGGUUAAUCUAAUGAAUAUCGUUUUAAUUAACAAACCAAUAACGAAUUUGAGUAUGACCUGAGGAUCCAAAAUAAAGUUGACCAUAUCUGUGAUGUGACCAUUUAUGUCUACCUCCACAUAAGACAACCCCUUCCAGAAAUUUGGUUCAAUUUCUGGGAUUUUAAUCUGUCAAAGUUGGAAUGCACGAGUAGUGGUUUAGGGUUUCAUCGAACGGUCAGCUGAGAUGGGUGGGAUUCGUAGCAACGGCGAAAUGAUCAUGAGAUCUUGUCAACUUAUUGAAAAGUCUUCGAGAUUUAUCUCCCUCUCCAAGAAACAAAUAUCAAUUCAUUGUUACUCAAUAUACUGAAACAAAUUUUAUAAUUGUUAUCUGCACAUCUGUAAAAUGAAUUUAAUUAAGGGGUGUGCUAUUUACACAUAAUUUUUUACUUCACACACACCACUUGUUAAUUUUUGUUAUUUGAUUUUCUUCAAUUCAUCUAAUUCAACGGCUGAAAAUUAAAAAAAUAUGUAAAAAGUAAAAAAUGAUAUAUGGAUAUCAUAUCUCUUUAAUUAAUUAUUUCCACAUGCAUAUUUCUUACUUUCUCUGUUUUCUAUCUGUUGUUUAUUAUUUCAUACUCCAAAUAUACAAUAUACAUUUCCCAUAUCAUAUUGGUUGAUAAAAAAACAUAACAUAUCAUGUACAUGUAAUUAAGUAAACAAUAUAGUAUCCCACCCCCCAUAUCUAAACUACCUAUUAAUAGAAUUCUAAUUGUUAACUAAAAUCCCAUGAAAUUAUCAUUCUAACCCUCUAAUUAAAAUUGAACAUGAAUAAGAAAUAUGGGCAAUAAUAUAAUUUCACACAACCAAAAUUUUGUUUUUUUUUUUUCAAAGCCUUACCUACAUGUAAUUUUAACAUACAUCUAAAUAAAUAAAAUAAAAUAAAAUAAAGCUCUCUCCCCUCCCUCUCCACUCCCACGUUCUCUCUCACUUCCUCUCUCCUUCCAUUUUUAAAACAAAGUUCCUCUCACACUUUGUGUGUGACCAUAUGCUAGUUAUACAUAGAAAAAAAGGGAGAUUUAACGAAACACUUCCAAUACUGUUUACUUUUAAUGAAAAACAAUAUUUUUACCUUUCCGUGGUACUAUUCACUACACCUUUAUUUGUCAUUUUUCUUUAAAACUAAAGUUUUUUUUUUAUUUUUCGUUAGUUUUCCUAAAAAAAAAGACCAAAUAGUUAUAUAAUAUAUAUAUUUAUUCUAUUAUGGGUAAUGACAAUCUUUGGGGUUUAAGACGUCCUAAUUGUAAAAAAAAAACCUCAACAAAUUAACAAAUUGAAUCCCUGACACAUCAGCUAAAGUAACGUAUAUUAUUUGAUCAAGUUGAGAGAAUGGGAUGAGUGUAAAGAGCGACAGAAUAGAGUGUAUGAUUAAGAAAUAAAUUUUGUAUAGAGUACUCGGGACUUAGCUAAACAUAAACCCUUUAAUUUCUUAAGUGCUGAGAAUUCUUCCUAAAUUAAAUACAAAAAAGAAAAAUACAUUUACACAAAUGGCACGCGACCUUUUCCACUUAACAAAAAUACUUAAUAUUUCUAAUGUCAACGUACUUCCGUACUAGUUUUACAUUCAGAACUAUUCAAAUCUAAACGUGUUCUUCUAGUACACCGCAAGAGUUCCCUUUUCUUAAAAUUCGUCAGCCUGUAAAGUGUAGUUUGGACACGGUCAAAUUGAUCGACGUUAUUCAACAUGGUUGGUUGCUUGAAGAACAAAGUUUCUGACUUGUGUUCAUAUCUUUAUCCUAGCAUUCUCUGACGGAUCCCCAAUUUAAACAAACUGUUAACUGCAUAUACGAUACCAAAGUCAUUUUAUAUACCUUUAUCUUCGACAUUUCAAAGUCCUUGUCAAAACAAAUGCAAAUUUGUUUGCUAAUUUUCCACGUAAUUGUGGAAAUAAUGGGUUAGCAACUACUUUCCAAAUGCCUAUAUAAACAUAGCAUAUAUCGACCUCUGAGAUAUCACAAGAAAAAUACAAAGGAGACUUUGGAUGUUGUCAUUAGCUAUGAAUAUUCUUUGAUUGAAAUAUUGUUGGUUUUUAAUUUUUGGUCGAGGUCCCUGAAAUUAAUGUGAUAAUUUAUUUUUAUGUACGUUACUAUAUUUUUUAAAUUAAAAAUUAGAAAUUUUAGUUGUUUAUAUAAAUGAGAUUUUAAAUAAAAAAACCAUAAUUUGUGGGACUAAAAUAUUAAAAUAUAAAUAUACUAUUGUGUGUGUGUGUGUGUGUGUGUGUAUAAACAUGGGUACAUUCAUCAAAAUUAACCAAACAAAUUAUUGUAUCAAAACAUGGGUAUAUUCUUCAAAAUCACACAAAAAAAAAAAAGAAGAUAUUAGGCUUAAUAACAUUAGUAAAUUUCUUCGAUUAAACUUGACAUGGAUACAUUUUAAAAUCAAAGAAAAAAAUUAAUGUACCCAUGUAAGUUUAAAAAUGGAUUAGAAAAAAAAAAUUGAAUAGAUUUUAUAUAAAAAAAAGGUACAUUUUACAUAUAACAAAUUGAUAUAUUUAAUAAUGAAUACAUUUUAAGAUUAAAAAGUUUUACAUGAAUGGGUACAUAUAAUUAGCAUGAGUACAUUUAGCAAAAUAAAAAGUACAAAUAAAAAAAAUAUGGGUACAAAUACAAAUAAACUUUAAAAAAUAUGGGCACAAAAAGAAAUUAAUAUAUGGGUACAAAUUAAAAUUGAAAAGAAAAUUGGUACAAAUUAAAAAAGGGUACAAACUAAAACUAAAAAUAUAUGAUAAAAAAAUUUAGUCAUAAAUAUAAAUAUAAAUAUACUAAUUGUAACAUUUUUAACAUUAAAUUAAUAUAUUUAGAAAUAAAAAAAUAUUUUAUUAUUGAAAUAAUUAAUGAUGUUAUUAAUACCCAAAGACCUUGAUCAAAAAUUAAAAAAGAAUAGGAUUUUAAUCAAUGAAGUAGUAAAAGGAAAGAUUAGAACCUAAUUUCUCCAAAAUACAAUAUUCCAUAAAAAUAGACGAUUCUCAAACUUCUCAUUUCCCUUGAGCUAGCUCUUUUAAUUUGUUCCCCAUAUGGCACGCUUAGCCUUUGAGCUAGCUCUUUUACUAUUCACUGGUAAAUACCAAUUAUUCAAAACCAUUUAACAACCCCCAAGGGGAAAGUUGAGUUAAAGUUUUGUUCACGUUGUAUAGUUUCUUAAUGCAAGCAUGGAAUCUUUCAACUUCUUAGUCCAUGGGUGGAUGGGCCUACAUAUGUAACUCAAUGCCCUAUACGCCCCGAACAACGUUAUACUUACAAAUUUAAUAUCACUAGACAAGAAGGCACCCUUUGGUGGCAUGCCCACAUUUCAUGGCUCCGUGCAAUUGUCCACGGAGCGCUCAUAAUCCACCCGAAAGCCGGUCGAUCCUUCCCCUUCCCCAAGCCCACCAAAGAAGUUCCCAUCUUGUUAGGUAAUUAACGAUUAAACUAUACCAUUCAACUUGCUUAAGGUUAAUCGUAAUAUGUACUUUAAACAAUAAUUUUGAUGAAUAAUAUUUUUUUAACAACUUUUUUUAUGACUAAUUAUAUAUUACCUGUUUGAUGGAAUUGCAGGAGAGUGGUACAAUGGCAAUGUGGUUGACAUUGAGGAAGAAGGCAUGUCUAAAGGAAUUGCUCCUAACAUUUCAAAUGCUUACACCAUCAAUGGACUUCCCGGCGAUCUUUACGAUUGCUCUCAAAAUCGUACGUAACCAUGCAUGCAUACACGUAAAUUUAUUGAUUUAGUUUAUGUGUUAUUUUGCAUGAUGAGUAUUAACAAAUUGACAUCAAAUUAUCAGAAUCAUAUCAACUAAGUGUGGUGAGAGGAAAGACCUACCUGCUACGCUUAAUUAACGAUGGACUCAAUACCCAGCUAUUCUUCAAGAUAACCAAUCACAAGAUGACAGUUGUCGCCAUCGACGCUAUCUACACCACUCCUUACGUUAGCGACAUGGUGGUUACCGGACCUGGUCAGACCACCGACGUUCUUGUCAAAUUCAAUCAACCUAUUGGAUC